RNAcentral lists this ribosomal RNA (253 nucleotides) under uncultured bacterium. RNAcentral's name for it is "partial 16S ribosomal RNA". It matches the Rfam family "Bacterial small subunit ribosomal RNA", at positions 524 to 776 of the family's 1533-position model. The record is from RNAcentral.
UACGAAGGAUCCAAGCGUUGUCCGGAAUUACUGGGCGUAAAGGGCGCGUAGGCGGCCUUCUAAGUCGAACGUGAAAUCCCCGGGCUCAACCCGGGAACUGCGUCCGAUACUGGAAGGCUUGAAUCCGGGAGAGGGAUGCGGAAUUCCAGGUGUAGCGGUGAAAUGCGUAGAUAUCUGGAGGAACACCGGUGGCGAAGGCGGCAUCCUGGACCGGCAUUGACGCUGAGGCGCGAAAGCCAGGGGAGCAAACGGG